CAUCGGGCUAAUAUCCCGGUGUCUUGACGGUACUGCCUUAGCAAGCAUCGGCUAACUCUGUGCCAGCAGCCGCGGUAAGACAGAGGAUGCGAACGUUGCUCGGAUUUACUGGGCGUAAAGCGCGUGUAGGCGGUCUCGUUAGUCGGGUGUGAAAGCCCCGGGCUCAACCCGGGAAGUGCACCCGAUACUGCGAGACUGGGGUACUGAAGAGGAGAGCGGAAUUCCCGGUGUAGAGGUGAAAUUCGUAGAUAUCGGGAGGAACACCAGUGGCGAAGGCGGCUCUCUGGGCAGAUACCGACGCUGAGACGCGAAAGCGUGGGGAGCAAACAGGAUUAGAUACCCUGGUAGUCCACGCUGUAAACGAUGACGACUGGGUGUUGCAGGUAUUGACCCCUGCGGUGCCGAAGCCAACGCGUUAAGUCGUCCGCCUGGGAAGUACGGCCGCAAGGCUAAAACUCAAAGGAAUUGACGGGGGU
This 476-nucleotide ribosomal RNA is filed under the name uncultured bacterium. RNAcentral describes it as "bacterial SSU rRNA". It matches the Rfam family "Bacterial small subunit ribosomal RNA", at positions 450 to 920 of the family's 1533-position model. The record is from RNAcentral.